RNAcentral lists this long non-coding RNA (6240 nucleotides) under Lynx pardinus (Iberian lynx). Lineage: Eukaryota; Metazoa; Chordata; Mammalia; Carnivora; Felidae. The record is from RNAcentral.
UCUGUGUUCAGACGUGUGACGUGAGCCGAGCAGCCUCCACGCUCCAUUACUGCAUGACGGUCAGCGGCACGGUGCUUCUGGUAGCUGGGACACUCUGCUUUGCUUGGUGGAGUGAAGGAGAAGCAGGUGCUCAGCCCGGCCAGCCAGCCCCUCCCACAGGGCAUCCGGUGCCUCAGGCCCCCAGUCCCCUGCUCAGGUCCGUCAGCUUCUUCUGCUGCGGUGCAGGCGGCCUGCUACUACUCUUCGGCUUGCUGUGGUCCAUCAAGGCCAGCACCCGGGGGCCUCCCCGAUGGGACCCAUAUCACCUCUCCAGAGACCUGUACUACCUCACUGUGGAGCCCUCGGAGAAGGAGAGCUACAGGUCAGCAGGGCAGGGUGGAGGUGAUGGGCGGGAGUGGUGGAUAAAGCACUGUCAUCAGCAGAGUCCUGGAGGGGUUUCAAGCCCUUUGACAGACUUUGACAAACCAGGGUAGUUAGAGCUGUCAGAGAGGGACGGACAGGGUCCUGUAGAGACAUGGAGAAAUCCAGGAAGGCUUCGUGGAGGAGGUGGCAAUUGAGCUCAGCAUGGUACAUACAGGGCAGAGUAGCAGAGGGGUUAAGAGCCCAGGCCCAGGGGUAAAUCUCCUGGAAUCCUCUCCUGGUUCUAUCACUAACUAGCAAGUAGGACUUCAAGUAGAUUGUACAACCCUACCGAGCCUCAACUUCCUCAUCUGAAAUAAGACAGGGUAAGAAUAGCACAAUAAUAGCAAAUACCUGCACUUACCAUCUGCGGGACGCUGUUCUAAGUGCUUUUCAUAUAUUUACUCAUUUUGUUUUCCCAGCAGCUCUCUGAAGUAGGGACUGUUAUUAACUCCAUCUAUAGAUGAGGAGCCCAAAGUGCCAAGACAUUAACUAACUUGCCCAAGGACACCCAGCUAACGUGUGUGUGAGUCGGGACUUGAACUGAGUCUGCACCCUCACUGCUCCCUAGCUCAGGGGACAUGGGGGAGAAUCCAAUGGGAUGAUGUCUGUGUAGAACGUAGCCCGGUGCCUGGCACACAGUAGGUGCACAGGAAGUGUCAGCUGUUCCUGAAGUGGAUAAUGUAGAGACACGGUUGGGACGGGCCAAAGAGCAUGUGCAAAGGCUCCGGGGUGGGUUGGGGGUGGAGACAAAAUCUUGCAUUAAGACCGUAUUUCUCAACCUUUUUAAAAUUGUCUCUCCCUCUAAGGAGCCUUUUAGGUAUUUUUUUUCAAUGUUUAUUUAUUUAUUUGUUUGUUUUGAGAGAGAGAGAGAGAGAGAGAGAGAGAGAGCGCGAGCGAGCCGGGGAGAGGCAAAGAGGAAGGGAGAGAGAGAAUCCCAAGCAGGCUCCAGGCCCCAUGCUGUCAGUGCAGAGCCCGACGCGGGGCUGGAACCCGCGAACUGUGAGAUCAUGACCUAAGCCAAGAUCAGGAGUCUGACCCUUAACUGACUGAGCCACCCAGGAGCCCUGGCAUUUUUUUCUUAAUCCCACACCCCCUCCAUGAAAUUUUCAUACCACAGAUAUAUUGCAUAUUUGUCUGCUCUGUAUGUAUCUCUGUAUUAUAUACAUCUACAGAGCAUCACCAAGAUACCAAGAGCUCUUUUUUUUUUUUUUACCUGGGGGAGAAAAUGAUGCAUUAUGUGUGCACUUGUUAAAUAUGUAUUCAUUCAGUCAAACAUGGGCAGUGCCUCCAUAUUGGGCGGCCCGCAUGCAUCCCCAGUCUUGUCUGCCUGCAAGGUAAGAAUUUCUGUUGCCGUUUAUGGAAGAAGAAGGUGAAGGUUACACAGCUAAAAAGUGGCAGAGCCCGCUGGCUGCAAAGCUUGUGUGUGUUAGGGGCUAAGUCAGACACUAGGGAGCUGGCCUGGGACCUGGACACCUUUCUUCCCUUGGGGAGAGGGAAAAACAGUAUUGUGAGUUAAAGAAUGUAACAAAUUCUUCCUGCAACUGGCCUGCGAUUCCCUGGGGUCAGAGACAAUAGAGUAUUCACCAGGGGCCAUUUGGUACAAUGGUCUGGCCUUGGUUUGACCCAACUGUUAGAGAGGGAAGGGCACGGCCUCCAGCCAGUCCCCUCACGUCUCAGAUGAGAAGCCCGGGUCUCAGAGAGACCCAUGACCUACCUGGUCACACAGCGAGGUGGUGGGUGACUGGAGGGGAACCAGGCCACGCUUCAGGGUGCUGCAAAUGUAACCUGUCCCUGCUCGCCCUCCUAGCCUGGCCGGACUGCUGGGGGCGGAUGUUGUCUGUACACACAGCCGUGUUGACUCAACAGGGUCUGGGCCACAGUAGCAUCUGUCAGGUGGGACCAGUUGGAUUUCAUUCCCAGCAGGGCUGCGGAAGAAGCCUGCUCGGGCGGGUGCUCAUGGCCCAUCAGGUUCGGAGACCCAAGUCUUAGGUUCAGAACUAGGAUGGCUGGAUGUCGGGGAGGCUGCUUCUGUUCAUGCCCCUUUCUUGUCCCUGAAAGCUGACACAGUCCAGCCUUGCUGCUGGUGAGCCCCGCAUCUGGCCCCUCUGGUGGCUGGACAGGAGGCCUCCCAGGGCCCCUGUCCUCAGUGAGUAUAGCAGAAAAAGCACAGGUUGGGGCGCCUGGGUGGCUCGGUCGGUUAAGUGUCCGACUUCGGCCCAGGUCAUGAUCUCGCGGUUCGUGAGUUCAAGCCCCGCGUCAGGCUCUGUGCUGAGGGCUCAGAGCCUGGAGCCUGUUUCAGAUUCUGUGUCUCCCUAUCUCUCUCUGACCCUCCCCCGUUCAUGCUCUGUCUCUGUCUCAAAAAUAAAUAAACGUUAAAAAAAAAUUAAAAGAAAAAGCACGGGUCUAUUCAGACGUGAGGGUGUCAGUGUCAGCUCUUUUCUAAGCUGUGCGCCCUUGAGCGUGUUACUUAGACUCUCCGAACCAUAUCUAAUUCUUCAUCUGUCAUGUGGCCAUGCCAGAACUUUCUCCUGAGAUUGCUGUUAGGCUCAGAUGAGGUGAUAGAUGGGGAAGUGUAUGCCUGGCAAAGUUCGUGCACACUUUAGCUUUGCGGCUGCGUAUGACUGUGCCUUACAGCUUGCAGUGCACUCUAGUGCCCGCUGCCUGAUUUGAGUCUCAACGGCUUGGGAGUUAAGUGUUAGGAUUAGGCCUAUUUCAGAGGACGGCACUAAGUGUGGGGAGAUUCAGGGCUGGGAUGGGAAGAAGGGCGAUAGGUGCCAUUGGCUUGAGCUUGGGAAUUAGGACUGGGGGCUCUGCUGCUUGGUUGAUGCUUGGCCUUUACUCAUCUGUACUGUGGCUGAGAGCCGAGCCCCCAGGGUUGUCCUGAACACGUUUAGGGAGCUUACACGUUGGGCAAAUAGUAUUCCGUCCUUGUCCCUUUCUCUUUCCUGACUGUGGUUGCCUGACUCAGCUGAAGGGUGGCAGAGCCGAGGCCAGGCCCAGGCCUCCUGCCCCCCCGGGGCCAGCCUCAGCCUCCCCUGGAACUUGCUGGCCUGGGGACCAGAGCAGCGGGCCCACCCCACACCCCUGCAGGGCGCCGUAUUUAGAAUAUACCACCCGUGUGUGUGUGUGUGUGUGUGUGUGUGUGUGUGUGUGUGUGUGUGAUAUGGCAGCUCUGCAUGGGGCCUCCUGUUCCCCCAGUUCCCAGCCUCUGGACUUGGGGCUGGCUGGGCCAUGCCGGCUACUAAUGUGACAGCAGGUGGCACGAGGGCCACUCCACGUCUGCCCUCUAAGCAAACUUCCUGCUGUGGGGUGAGCUUCCCUGGCAUCUGUGCCCUGCCCUGCCAGCUGUUGCCUGCUGGGGUGGUCCCAGGCAUACCCCAAAUCUGUCUGGCAUCUCCAGGGCUUGGGGAACCAGGGAGUGGCAGGGGUGUGGCUGGGGCACGUGGGAGGGGAGGGAGACAUAGGGCUCUGGAAGCUGUAAUACCCGCAUUUUUCCGAGUGCUGUCAAAGCUUUUUCCAUUUUCCCCUCCCCUGAAUCUAUAAAAUGGGAAUUCUCAUCCCCAUUUUACAGAUGAGGAGAAGGAGGCUCAGAGGGGCCAUGUGAACAAGGCAUGGCACGAGACAGUGGAGUCUAGCCUGCUUGCCUCCAGAAGCAGUAUUCUUUGCCUGCCUUCACGUGCAAAGGAUGCUGGGAGCUGAGGGGAGACUGAGACCCCUUAUCAGCUCCCUCAGUAGCAGGGCUCCUGGGCUGCCUUCCAGAGGAGGAGGGUCUGUGGGAGAGAUGUGUCACAGCACUGGAUGGGGAGCCCAGAUCUGGCUCCUGGCCGGUGCCCUCUAUCAGAUUGGCAUGCAGGCUGGGGGUUAACCCUGAGCUCCCCACCAGCCUACUCCAUGACUCUGUCUAUGACUGGAGCAGCGAGCCUGCCUCCCCAGUGGGUCACUCUGAUGGCUGUGGUUGGCUCGGGCUGAGAAGACACACUGUCCAGAGAAGGGCCAUGUCCCCGGCGGGGGUUGGAUUCUCAAGUGAGGGGUGAGAGCAGGUACCCAGCACUGCCCCCUACCAGCCCCUGGAGUGAAGUUCCCUCCACUACCUCCUCCGACCCCCCCCCCCGCCCCCCGGGGCCAGCCUCCUGCCAUCAGCCCCUCCCCUGUCUACACCGGCAGAACCCAUGGUAUGCAUUGAACUGCUUCCCCACCAGCUCCAGACUGAUAACUCUGGGCAAGCAAUAGCCUGUAUGGCACUUACCGUGCAGGUGAUCUAUGAUAACUUUUGUCCCCCACACCCCUUCCUCGAAGAGACUUUUGAGAUUUUGUUAUCAGCUCCUGUUCACGGAACAUGUGCUAAGUGCCCCUUCCCCUGUAUUAUCUCAAUUAAUCUUCAUAAAGUCCUGGGAGGUAGGUGCCCUUGCUGUCCUCAUUGUAUAGAUGGGGAAACCGAGGCUCAGAUUAAUGGAGUUACUGACCCAUGAUCUACCACCAAGAAUGUGGCAUAGCAGAGAGUUGAACUAGCCACAGCCCAGGCUCAUAACCAGCCCUUCAGUCACUUGGUGCGAGAAGCAACCUUCAAGGUCACUUGGUCAGCUCCUGUAUCUGGCAGGAUCAUCCCCAAAGGGGAAUCAGCUCAGACGUGGGAUCAACGACACUCCUGUCCCCUGGCGUCCUGGGAAGGGAAAGAAGCACCACCUCCCCAGAGGUGACCCACCAGGGUUCUGAGAGGACUGAGGGCCAGCCUCGUUCCCAUCAGCAUUGAGGCUAGAAUACAGGUAACCUGUUUUUUGAAUCUAACCUGUGGGGGCCGGUCACAGAAGCCACAGAGGACCUGGUCUGUGCCUCAAGUCCCUGCGGGGUCAUUCAUUUGUUGGAGGUAGGGCAAGUCACAGGAAAGCCAGGCUGUUUAGAGAUGGAUGUGGUUGACCUGGUAGGUAGUGAGCUCUCCAUCUCUGGAGGUAUGCAAGUGGAAGUAAUCACUUCGCAGACUUGCCAUAUUGGGGCCUCAAGCAUCCAGAUGGGCAGGAGAAUCGAUGUCUCCCAUCCCGCCUGGAGUAUCUACAACUCCGGAUCUUGCAAGGGAUUAUUACAACAAGCUAGAAGUCUUUCUGCCGAUGAGCCAUCCUUCUUUCGACAAACAUCCCCAGGCACCUGCCCUCAGCCCAUGGAUGCUCAAAGUCCAUCCUUGCCCUCAGGGACAACCUAGGGGACCUGGUAGGGUCAAUGCAGUGUCGGGGAAGAGCCCUCUGGGAGCCCAGAGCAGGGAGCGAGAGCUUUGCGCGGAGAGGGGGGACCAGUCAAGAAAGCUUCCCAGAAGAGCCUCAAAGGACAAGUGGGGAUGGGCCAGCAGGGAGGGGGCGGGGGAGGAUGGACCUUCCCGGCAGAGAGAACUGAGGAGUUGCAGCGAGCGAGCGCGUGUGGGGAACUCACAGGAUGGGGCGGGCAGAGUGGGAGGGCUGCGGUUGGCAGAGCUGACUCAUGCCAAGCUCUGAGUGUGUACCUGGGGCCCACAACGGGUUUGGACAGGGCGUGAAGUCUUCCCCAGCCCCGGCCUCCCUUGCUCUUUCCCUGGCGUGCAGUACGUUUGCCCUUGCCCCUGCUACAGCCUCUCUUCUUCUGUCCCGCAGGAUCCCAAAGGCGGUUGGCAUCCCCACUUACGAGGAGGCCGUGGGCUGGCCACUUGCCGAGGGGCCCCCGACGCCACCUGCCGAGGGGCCCCCGACACCCCCUGCGUACCCCGCGGAAGAAAGCCCGAAGGACUGUGCCUCCGGGGAUGCCCUGCGUGGGACCCAGCCCCCCUUGCCACCGCCCAGCUACGAGAGCAUCAUCAGUGCUGUCAACGGCCUCUCU